UACGUAGGGACCGAGCGUUGUCCGGAUUCAUUGGGCGUAAAGAGCUCGUAGGCGGCCACUCAAGUCGAAUGUGAAACCUCGAGGCUUAACCUCGAGCCUGCAUUCGAUACUGGGCGGCUAGAGUCUGGUAGGGGGAUCUGGAAUUCCUGGUGUAGCGGUGGAAUGCGCAGAUAUCAGGAGGAACACCGGUGGCGAAGGCGGGUCUCUGGGCCGUAACUGACGCUGAGGAGCGAAAGCAUGGGGAGCGAACAGG
This 253-nucleotide ribosomal RNA is filed under the name uncultured bacterium. Its description in RNAcentral is "partial 16S ribosomal RNA". It matches the Rfam family "Bacterial small subunit ribosomal RNA", at positions 524 to 776 of the family's 1533-position model. The record is from RNAcentral.